Triticum aestivum (bread wheat) is the source of this 2449-nucleotide long non-coding RNA. RefSeq lists it as uncharacterized. The transcript has 3 exons. Lineage: Eukaryota; Viridiplantae; Streptophyta; Magnoliopsida; Poales; Poaceae. The record is from RefSeq and is a predicted model, not a curated record.
CCUCCUAUAAAUACUGGUGGGCGUCCGACCCUCAUCCUGCUCGCUGCUGCCUGCCCUCUUUUUUCUCUGAUCAGUGCUAGCGUGGCGAUGGUUCCUCCUGGUGCUUCUGCGUCUGGCCGCCGCCGUCGGGGCCACCCCCUGGGAUUCGGGCUGCUGUUAUUGCCCGUGUGCGCCGCGCUGGCGGCCGUCGGUAGCAACACGGGUCCCGUGCCGUGGCUCUCGGCCCCGGACUUCGCCCUUUCUUGCUCCCCGCGACCACAGGCAUGUCCUCCGGCUUCGGUGGGGAGUGGAUCCAGAGCGCGGGCCGCUGUGGUGACCAGCUGUGUGGAAUCUAGGCCUCAGCCAGGGAUAGGAGACACGUGCGUAUGCAACCCAACUCGCAAGUCUGGCGACCUCAGCCGUUGAGGUGACGACGACACAUCAGUUUGUGGCGAGGCGCGCGAGCGUACCCUGGGGCAACUUCUUGAGGAAGGGAAGGUGGGGCGUUUCCAGCUCGCGCCCCGUCAGGCCGUCCGCGCGCCGCAAUCCCUGUCGGUCAUCGUGGUAGAUGCAUGCCUCGAGCUGUCCAGAGCCACCCGUUCCUCGACCUUGCAUCCGGCUUUCCGAGGAACCUCGCGUCAGCCAAGGUCACCGGAGCCCUGCUCUGCUGCAAGCCACUGGCGUACCGAGGGUACAGGGCGGUGAUCGCAACAUUAUACGAGGGCCCUGCGAGCGACGGACGCGGACUGCCAGGCAUGGAGCAACUAUCAGACCUUGGUGGCGUGCUUCCGGUGCAAUAUGAGUGCAAGGUCGAUGUGCAGGCGACCGCCUCGGCUGCUGCACCCUUCGUGUCAACGGCCGGCGGCGCCGCAGCUGCGACGGCCGUUACUACUUAUUGCUAUUUUUGUUCAUGGGACCGGGAUGGUUGAUUUCAUGUUUCUGAUUCAGAGAAUCAGAGUAAAUUUUUGUGCUUAAUGCGAUGUACAGAUGUAGGGCAACUACGCAUCUUCUCUUUAUCAUGUCCUGUUUUAAUUCUAUCUGCCUCACUAGGAUUGCAAACAUCUUUGACAGAUUCCUCAAAGGCCCCAUCACUUGCUUUGAUGAGAUGGACGUCCAGUAGAAAAUCAUCAAUGAGGUGACAAAGAUGAAGAAUGGGAGCAAUAGGAUUACGAUCACCAUGAGGUAGUACGUGAGUGAGGACCUGAAUACUCUGACUCUGCGAGAUGUGAGCAAUCUUGAGUAGCAGAUUGAGUUCUCUCUGUACAAGGUUCGCCCAAGGAAGUUAACAACCCAACUACUAGAUGCAAUAGUUUCGUGUGCACAUUGUAAUACCACCUGGAACUGUUAUAUUUUUUUUAGCAGAAUGUGGACCUUAUUAAGACCUAUAUAUCAAAGAUUCAGCAGUUGGAAGCUGAACUAACACGGCAGAUAUUCUCCGCUGCUUGCAGAAAUUGUUUGCAUGAUAAACUUGCACUGGAUAAGGGCAUGCUUAUAGACGAUCUAGAUUUUGGUUGUGAAGUAGGAAUAUUCAAGUGUCAAAUGAAGAAUAGAAGGAAAGAGAAGUUAGUGAACACUCCUCCAUACAGGAAAAACUGGAUAUGGAGCUGUAAGAUCAAAAAAGGACAUCAGCAAGAGGAGAUACAAUACUAUUUUACUUCCUUAUAAUUAUAAAUGUUCAUAUACGAAUUUACAACUUAUCUGGCUCAACUUCGACUCUUUGUUCACAUGUACUGAUAAUCUUCAUUCCACCAUCCAUUAUAAACUCAUUUUCAAAGAUAACCACACUUAACCUACGAUUAUAAUUAACAGUUAUAACUGUGCUCUCUGGUAUUGUGUUCUUUGUUCCAAAUGGAAGUGUAAUUCUACCUUUUUUUAAUCUAAAUUUCUGAAGGUUGAUAUGACACAAUUUAUGAAGAGUGACACCACUGUUCUGAAGUAACAUCAUGAGACGAAGUUACAUGAGAUGGAAUAAGAAAGGACAGCUCUUCAGGUUUUAUUUGCUGUAAUUUGCUGACUCCUUAAAGCACAAACAGUAGAAAUCUUAUUUAUAUUUACAAAAAGAAAUCGAGGAUCUCGAUCAUGCAUCACCGAAUAUACCUUCCUCAACUGACGAGGGCACACAGAAAAAACAGAAAAAGAAUGAAAAUUAUCUCCAGAAGAUGAUCAUGAUUGAAUCUCAGGUUUUGAAAUUCUCUAUUUCCCGUUAGGUUUCUGUUUUGUUGUUUUUUGGAGUUCUUUUACAGUCUUAAACUGGUUAUUGAGUGCAUGACACGUGUAUUAGUUGAGGGCCUUCCCACCAACUUUUACCCAUGGAUUAAUUAAGUAAAUUCUUCACUUCCUUUCUGCAACUUCGGUUAAUUUUCAAGCUCAUAUUUAUAUAGUCCAUGUAUAAGAUCAACAGGUUGUUAUGACCGGUUUAACGUAUAACCGGCGGAGGCCCACGGGGCAGUAGUUAGGGGCUUGACCCACA